RNAcentral lists this non-coding RNA (21 nucleotides) under Caenorhabditis elegans. Lineage: Eukaryota; Metazoa; Nematoda; Chromadorea; Rhabditida; Rhabditidae. The record is from RNAcentral.
UUAAGAGUGAACAAAAAAACU